CCUACGGGUGGCAGCAGUGAGGAAUAUUGGUCAAUGGGCGCGAGCCUGAACCAGCCAAGUAGCGUGAAGGAUGACUGCCCUACGGGUUGUAAACUUCUUUUAUAAAGGAAUAAAGUGAUGCACGUGUGCCUUUUUGUAUGUACUUUAUGAAUAAGGAUCGGCUAACUCCGUGCCAGCAGCCGCGGUAAUACGGAGGAUCCGAGCGUUAUCCGGAUUUAUUGGGUUUAAAGGGAGCGUAGGCGGGUUGUUAAGUCAGUUGUGAAAGUUUGCGGCUCAACCGUAAAAUUGCAGUUGAUACUGGCAGCCUGGAGUACAGUAGAGGUAGGCGGAAUUCGUGGUGUAGCGGUGAAAUGCUUAGAUAUCACGAAGAACUCCGAUUGCGAAGGCAGCCCACUGGACUGUAACUGACGCUGAUGCUCGAAAGUGUGGGUAUCAAACAGGAUUAGAUACCCCUGUAGUC
RNAcentral lists this ribosomal RNA (460 nucleotides) under uncultured bacterium. Its description in RNAcentral is "partial 16S ribosomal RNA". It matches the Rfam family "Bacterial small subunit ribosomal RNA", at positions 338 to 795 of the family's 1533-position model. The record is from RNAcentral.